UAAUAUUGACAUAUCCCGGAAGCUAAUGUACACCCCUGCAAAACAAAUACCAGUGACAUGGUCAGUAUAUAAGUUUGCACAUCGACAUAUACCACUGCAUAUUUACAGAAGCUUGACCACCAAACCGAUAACAUGAAGCUACUGGUCACUGUAAUCGUGUUUGUCUGCCUGAGUGAGUUAGUAGUUUGUCAGAGCGGUAAUGGUCUGCCUUUGUUAGUGGCCGGUGGUCUAUUAGGCUUUGCUGCGUCAAAAUCAGGUCUAUUUGGCGGACGUCGUGGGGGAUUCUACCCUCCUCCCUUUCCUGGAUAUGGCCAUAACCAAUUUGGUCCAGGGGGAUUUGGCUCUGGAUUUGGAUUUCACAGACCUUUUUAUGGAUAAAUAAACCCUCGCCGGUUGACGUUGAUGUAUCUCCGGAUUUUUAUUGCCGUCCCGCCAGACAAGGUAUACUACAGGAAUGACGCAGCACCAUACGUUGACACUACAUCAACUACAGACUGACACGUACCUCAUCUGUAACUCGUGAUCAUUGUCUGAUAAAAACAAAAACGUAAAUGCCAUGUAUUUAUUAUUAAAAUAUUGUUAUACAUCC
Pecten maximus is the source of this 589-nucleotide long non-coding RNA. RefSeq lists it as uncharacterized. Lineage: Eukaryota; Metazoa; Mollusca; Bivalvia; Pectinida; Pectinidae. The transcript is spliced from 3 exons. The record is from RefSeq and is a predicted model, not a curated record.